GACGAACGCUGGCGGCGUGCUUAACACAUGCAAGUCGAACGGAAAGGCCCUGCUUUUGUGGGGUGCUCGAGUGGCGAACGGGUGAGUAACACGUGAGUAAACUGCCCCUGACUUAGGGAUAACUUCAGGGAACUGGGGCUCAUACCGGAUAGGAGCUUCUGCUGCACGGUGGGGGUUGGUAAGUUUCGGCGGUUGGGGAUGGACUCGCGGCUUAUCAGCUUGUUGGUGGGGUAGUGGCUUACCAAGGCUAUGACGGGUAGCCGGCCUGGGAGGGUGACCGGCCACAUUGGGACUGAGAUACGGCCCAGACUCCUACGGGAGGCAGCAGUGGGGAAUAUUGCACAAUGGGCGGAAGCCUGAUGCAGCAACGCCGCGUGCGGGAUGACGGCCUUCGGGUUGUAAACCGCUUUCGCCGGUGACGAAGCGUGAGUGACGGUAAUGGGUAAAGAAGCACCGGCUAACUACGUG
RNAcentral lists this ribosomal RNA (468 nucleotides) under uncultured bacterium. Its description in RNAcentral is "partial 16S ribosomal RNA". It matches the Rfam family "Bacterial small subunit ribosomal RNA", at positions 28 to 507 of the family's 1533-position model. The record is from RNAcentral.